AUUGAACGCUGGCGGCAGGCCUAACACAUGCAAGUCGAACGGCAGCGGGGGGUAGCUUGCUACCCCGCCGGCGAGUGGCGGACGGGUGAGUAAUGCCUGGGGAGCUGCCCAAUCGAGGGGGAUACCAGUUGGAAACGACUGCUAAUACCGCAUACGCCCUGAGGGGGAAAGGUGGGGAUCUUCGGACCUAUCGCGAUAGGAUGCACCCAGGUGGGAUUAGCUAGUUGGUGAGGUAACGGCUCACCAAGGCGACGAUCUCUAGCUGGUCUGAGAGGAUGACCAGCCACACUGGAACUGAGACACGGUCCAGACUCCUACGGGAGGCAGCAGUGGGGAAUAUUGCACAAUGGGGGAAACCCUGAUGCAGCCAUGCCGCGUGUGUGAAGAAGGCCUUUGGGUUGUAAAGCACUUUCAGCGAGGAGGAAAGGGUGGCAGCUAAUACCUGUCAUCUGUGACGUUACUCGCAGAAGAAGCACCGGCUAACUCCGUGCCAGCCGCCGCCGUAA
This 506-nucleotide ribosomal RNA is filed under the name uncultured bacterium. Its description in RNAcentral is "partial 16S ribosomal RNA". It matches the Rfam family "Bacterial small subunit ribosomal RNA", at positions 29 to 523 of the family's 1533-position model. The record is from RNAcentral.